RNAcentral lists this ribosomal RNA (404 nucleotides) under Enterobacter cloacae. RNAcentral describes it as "bacterial SSU rRNA". It matches the Rfam family "Bacterial small subunit ribosomal RNA", at positions 1029 to 1433 of the family's 1533-position model. The record is from RNAcentral. Lineage: Bacteria; Pseudomonadati; Pseudomonadota; Gammaproteobacteria; Enterobacterales; Enterobacteriaceae.
CUGAGACAGGUGCUGCAUGGCUGUCGUCAGCUCGUGUUGUGAAAUGUUGGGUUAAGUCCCGCAACGAGCGCAACCCUUAUCCUUUGUUGCCAGCGGUUAGGCCGGGAACUCAAAGGAGACUGCCAGUGAUAAACUGGAGGAAGGUGGGGAUGACGUCAAGUCAUCAUGGCCCUUACGAGUAGGGCUACACACGUGCUACAAUGGCGCAUACAAAGAGAAGCGACCUCGCGAGAGCAAGCGGACCUCAUAAAGUGCGUCGUAGUCCGGAUUGGAGUCUGCAACUCGACUCCAUGAAGUCGGAAUCGCUAGUAAUCGUGGAUCAGAAUGCCACGGUGAAUACGUUCCCGGGCCUUGUACACACCGCCCGUCACACCAUGGGAGUGGGUUGCAAAAGAAGUAGGUAG